This 451-nucleotide ribosomal RNA is filed under the name uncultured bacterium. RNAcentral describes it as "partial 16S ribosomal RNA". It matches the Rfam family "Bacterial small subunit ribosomal RNA", at positions 29 to 523 of the family's 1533-position model. The record is from RNAcentral.
AACGAACGCUGGCGGCAGGCUUAACACAUGCAAGUCGAACGCCUGUAGCAAUACAGGAGUGGCAGACGGGUGAGUAACACGUGGGAACGUGCCCAAAGGUACGGAACAACUCCGGGAAACUGGAGCUAAUACCGUAUGUGCCCGAAAGGGGAAAGAUUUAUCGCCUUUGGAUCGGCCCGCGUCUGAUUAGCUAGUUGGUGGGGUAAUGGCCUACCAAGGCGACGAUCAGUAGCUGGUCUGAGAGGAUGGCCCACCACACUGGGACUGAGACACGGCCCAGACUCCUACGGGAGGCAGCAGUGGGGAAUAUUGGACAAUGGGCGCAAGCCUGAUCCAGCCAUGCCGCGUGAGUGAUGAAGGCCUUAGGGUUGUAAAGCUCUUUCGCCAGGGACGAUAAUGACGGUACCUGGAUAAGAAGCCCCGGCUAACUUCGUGCCAGCAGCCGCCGUAA